UGGGAGGUAAAUUUCUCCUAAGGCUAAAUACAGGCGAGAGACCGAUAGCGAACAAGUACCGUGAGGGAAAGAUGAAAAGAACUUUGAAAAGAGAGUUAAACAGUACGUGAAAUUGUUAAAAGGGAAACGAUUGAAGCCAGUCGUACCGACGGGAAAUCAACUUCUGGAGCGCUUGUCGUGGGUAACUUUGAGCUUCGCGGCCUUUGUUGCUUUGCGUUAUGGUGCUUUUGGAGUGUACUUUUCCGUAUGGUAGGUCAAUAUCGAUUUUGAUCGUCAUAAAAUGAUCGGAGGAAUGUGGCUUCGAUCUCGUAUCGGAGUGUUAUAGCCUUUGGUAGAUGUGACGAUUGGGAUCGAGGAUUGCAACGAAUACCCUUUGGGCUAUCCGUCUGACCUCUGAAAGUCGCUCGAGUGUCGAAAGCUUGCUUAUGGCAUUCUAGUUGGCGGUCAAAAGGUUAGAACGCGAUUACAUUCGUUAAGGAUGUUGACGUAAUGGCUUUAAACGACCCGUCUUGAAACACGGACCAAGGAGUCUAACAAAUAUGCGAGUGUUCGGGUGAUCAAACCCUUACGCGUAAUGAAAGUAAUUCAGGUGGGAUUGCGCUCGUCGCGUGCACCAUCGACC
Molecule: ribosomal RNA, 622 nt
Filed under: uncultured Glomeromycotina
Lineage: Eukaryota; Fungi; Glomeromycota
Description: eukaryotic LSU rRNA
Rfam family: Eukaryotic large subunit ribosomal RNA
Source: RNAcentral